RNAcentral lists this ribosomal RNA (250 nucleotides) under uncultured bacterium. RNAcentral's name for it is "partial 16S ribosomal RNA". It matches the Rfam family "Bacterial small subunit ribosomal RNA", at positions 524 to 773 of the family's 1533-position model. The record is from RNAcentral.
UACGUAGGUGACGAGCGUUAUCCGGAAUUACUGGGCGUAAAGCGCACGCAGGCGGUCCUUUAAGUCUGACGUGAAAUCUCUCGGCUUAACUGGGAGGGGUCGUUGGAAACUGGGGGGCUUGAGGCGACGAGAGGGGUGCGGAAUUCCCGGUGUAGUGGUGGAAUGCGUAGAUAUCGGGAGGAACACCAGUGGCGAAAGCGGCACCCUGGCGUUAGCCUGACGCUCAUGUGCGAAAGCGUGGGGAGCGAAC